AUUGAACGCUGGCGGCAGGCCUAACACAUGCAAGUCGAACGAGUGGCGGACGGGUGAGUAAUGUCUGGGAAACUGCCUGAUGGAGGGGGAUACCUCCUGAAACCGUUAGCUAAUACCGCAUACCAUCGAUGGUCCCCAGAUGGGAUUAGCUAGUAGGUGGGGGAAAGGCUCACCUAGGCGACGAUCCCUAGCUGGUCUGAGAGGAUGACCAGCCACACUGGAACUGAGACACGGUCCAGACUCCUACGGGAGGCAGCAGGGGGGAAUAUUGCACAAUGGGCGCAAGCCUGAUGCAGCCAUGCCGCGUGUAUGAAGAAGGCCUUCGGGUUGUAAAGUACUUUCAGCGGGGAGGCGUUACCCGCAGAAGAAGCACCGGCUAACUCCGUGCCAGCAGCCGCGGUAAUAC
Molecule: ribosomal RNA, 406 nt
Filed under: uncultured bacterium
Lineage: Bacteria
Description: partial 16S ribosomal RNA
Rfam family: Bacterial small subunit ribosomal RNA
Source: RNAcentral